UACGGGGGGGGCAAGCGUUGUUCGGAAUUACUGGGCGUAAAGGGCUCGUAGGUGGCCAACUAAGUCAGACGUGAAAUCCCCAGGCUCAACUUGGGAACUGCGUCUGAUACUGGAUGGCUUGAAUUCGGGAGAGGGAUGCAGAAUUCCAGGUGUAGCGGUGAAAUGCGUAGAUAUUCGCAAGAACACCAGUGGCGAAGGCGGCUCACUGGCCCGGUACUGACGCUGAGGUGCGAAAGCGUGGGGAGCAAACAGG
Molecule: ribosomal RNA, 253 nt
Filed under: uncultured bacterium
Lineage: Bacteria
Description: partial 16S ribosomal RNA
Rfam family: Bacterial small subunit ribosomal RNA
Source: RNAcentral